CAUAACUGGAUUCAGAAGUGGGACCUGAAGCAAGAUCACCUUCAGUGGGCAUCUGCGAUUCUUGAGACUGGUGUUCAGUACUCGCUUGAGCCCUCUGAACUCUGGUCUAAGGACUCACCAGGAGUCGCAGACUGGAUGAUAAGAGACUUUUUGGCAUUUCUGACAAGCCUUUUCUGGUACAAAGACAUUCAUCUCUAUGGCCAGGAGUUCUAAACAAGAGAUCAAAGGUAGAGUCCCCUUGGGACGGAAGGGUGGGGCCCAGAGAGCCGUGGGGAGAAGACAUAGUGUCCUCUGGAAUCUGGGUAACAAGCUCUGAGGGGCCAGAGCUAAAAGGACACUCUUUCCUCCUCUGAGACACUUAGGGUGGGGGGCACAAGGUCUUGGACUCUGGGGUUUCUCAGGCUGGAGUUUCGAAGGGGUUGCAUAAGAAAGAAGAAGCCUGAGGCAGUGGGGCCUGUUGCAGAGCUGGGCGGCAUCCCCAAGGCUGAGUCCUUCCUGGCUCUGCAGGUGGAGACACAGGUGAACACCAGGACACCACAGGGAAGUCCCAGCCCGGGGAGGGCAGGAGAACGGGAAAAUCACACCCGACUGAGCCCCGCCCCCCAGCUCUUACCCUCUGUAGGGGCCCACCCUGUGCUGGGCACUUUGUGAGAGAUGCAAUUCCAUCCCACAACUCACUCUGCCCUGCAGGAUCACCAAGGUUCAGACGCCUGGGUUCAGAUCCUCACUCCGGCCAAGAGGAGUUAAAACUCUGUGUGCCUCAGUUUCCUUCUAUAUUAAGUGCAGACAAUAAUCCAGGCAGGGAGGCUCAUGGUGCUCUCUCCAGUGUCAGCUCCAGAGGAGGCUGAGGGAGAACUCCUCACCCAGCGCAGCCUGUGGGUUCUGUAGAGAGGCUCGCUGCGCUGCCUUGCACACAGGCCACCCCCACGCACUCUCAGGGCUUCUCGUGCUCAUGGGCCAGUCUCGGGGGGUGUGGGGAUGCUCAGUGCCUGUGUCCAGGAACCCCCAUUCCCAGAAAUCAGCCUGGGGCUCCUCCAGCUCCUGUCAAGGUGUUUGUCUCCAGUGAGUCCGAUCUCACCCGAGGGUCUCGCUGUUCUUCCCUGGAUGGGCUCAGUCCAGCAGAACCAGCCUGCGCUGUUCCGCCAUGUGGGAGUGUGGGAGGAAGGAAGCCCCGUGGCCGUCCAAGAUCCGGGUUCCUCUCUCCUUGACACGCCCUCUGAGAAGUGAGGAGAGGAGUCAAGGAAUUCGUACACGCUAGGGGCCUGGAACCGUGCCCGACCCUUGGAAGAUGCCCAGUAAUUGCCAGCUGCCUGAAGUCACCAGGCUUGUGUCUACCAAGACCCUGGCCUGGGAAUCUCUCACCAGGAGCUGGAAUCCUCGCUGCUCUGGCUCCAUAGCCCAUUUGUGUGGGCACUUAGGGUGGUGACACCAGCUGCCAAGCGCCACCCGAGGGCUCCUGGGUGUGACUGGGAAGGACUGGUUCUCUCCACCCCAGUGAGGGGUCCUUGUUUCAGGAUAAAGAGAGUUAGACCCCCUCAUUCUCACUACAUCUGCUUCUGUUUCAUGUAACACACACAGUCACAGACACACACCGACUCAGAGACACACAAUCACAGAAACACACACACACACAGACGCACUCACAGCCGCAGACACAUCUUCAGUCUAGAUAGAAACACCUAGACACAUAGACACAUCUAGACUCAGACACACGCUCACACAAACAGAGAAACAUCGCACACACAGCCUCACCCACAACCACCUACAAGCACACAGGAACACCUAGGGACCCUGACACACAUAGACUCAGACACACAGACACACAGACUUAGACUCACAUUGA
Non-coding RNA from Macaca mulatta (Rhesus monkey), 1843 nucleotides. The record is from RefSeq and is a predicted model, not a curated record. Lineage: Eukaryota; Metazoa; Chordata; Mammalia; Primates; Cercopithecidae.